This 714-nucleotide ribosomal RNA is filed under the name uncultured Saprospiraceae bacterium. RNAcentral describes it as "bacterial SSU rRNA". It matches the Rfam family "Bacterial small subunit ribosomal RNA", at positions 49 to 755 of the family's 1533-position model. Lineage: Bacteria; Pseudomonadati; Bacteroidota; Saprospiria; Saprospirales; Saprospiraceae. The record is from RNAcentral.
UAAUACAUGCAAGUCGAGGGGCAUCGCGGGGUAGCAAUACUCUGGCGGCGACCGGCACACGGGUGCGGAACACGUACAGAACCUUCCUUUAAGUGGGGGAUAGCCCGGAGAAAUCCGGAUUAAUACCCCGUAAUAUUAUUGAGUGGCAUCAUUUGAUAAUUAUAGAUUUAUCGCUUAGAGAUGGCUGUGCGUCUGAUUAGGUAGUUGGUUGAGGUAACGGCUCACCAAGCCUUCGAUCAGUAACUGGUGUGAGAGCACGACCAGUCACACGGGCACUGAGACACGGGCCCGACUCCUACGGGAGGCAGCAGUAAGGAAUAUUGGUCAAUGGACGCAAGUCUGAACCAGCCAUGCCGCGUGAAGGAUGAAGGCCCUCUGGGUUGUAAACUUCUUUUAUUUGGGAAGAAACCACUUUUUUUUAAGGGUGUUGACGGUACCAGAGGAAUAAGCACCGGCUAACUCCGUGCCAGCAGCCGCGGUAAUACGGAGGGUGCAAGCGUUAUCCGGAUUCACUGGGUUUAAAGGGUGCGUAGGUGGGCUUGUAAGUCAGUGGUGAAAUCUCCGUGCUUAACAUGGAAACUGCCAUUGCUACUAUAGGUCUUGAAUUUUCUGGAGGUUAGCGGAAUAUGUCAUGUAGCGGUGAAAUGCUUAGCUCUGACAUAGAACACCAAUUGCGAAGGCAGCUAGCUACAGGGAUAUUGACACUGAGGCACG